AAAAAUAAUUAUUCUUUUCUUAUUUCAGAUAUUAAAUAUUUGCCCUUUGGUUGUAAUAAGAAUAUUUUUUUUUUAAUUUUUAUUAUUGUUUUUGAUUCAUUUUUUAAAAAAAUAAGAUAUUUAGCUAUCGUAAAAAGAGAGUUGCAACUCGUGAAACAGUUGGGAAACAUUGUUCUAUACACAAUAGUAGAAUAAAUCUUGUCGACUUGCUCCUUUGCUGUUUUUUUCUACACUCUAUCGCGUCAUGAAAAACGCGUGCAUGAAAGAAUCUCGAGCAGCCUCUUGUCCCUCGUGCUUUUCCAAUUUUUUCUUCCCGUUUGCGAAACGCUCGUUAAAAAGCGAUGAGAGAUAAUUCCAACUCUUGCAAACUGUUUUCCAAAACAAAAGAAACAUCCAACAUCCAACAUUUUUUUUCGAGUUGCAAGGAUAGAAGAAAAAUCUUUCAUUUAAAAAAUAUUUGUUCCAGAAAUGAGAGAUUCGAGUGAAAUCCGGAACAUUAAGUGAAUCAUAGGAAAUUAAAACUUUUUCUGUGUGAAGUAAAAAAAAUUGAAAAGUAUAUAAUUUGCUCUUAAAAAAUAUUAUUUAUUCUCAUUUGAUGGCUGUUGAUAAGUAAUGGAUCAAGAAUAUUGCAAAAAUAAAGAAGAUAAUUCGUCAAGAUUAAGAUACGUAUUUAACAAUAAAUAUAAGAAUAAAAUUUGUACGACCAUUAUUCUUGUUAAUUUAUCAUUCUCAGUAUUUGUUUAUUUUAUAAUAAAGAGAAUUAAAAAUAUUUUCUCGAAUAUUUUAAAAGCGAAUAUUUGUGUAAAAGUAUGUAUAAGAUUUUAACAUAUAAAUAUUUCAGGAAUUCAAAAUCUGUAAGGAUGGUGUAUCAAUCUUUCAUGAUCGCCGUUUCAUUUGCAUCAAAAGCCAAUGGACGUUAAAAGAUUUAUACAAGAAUCGCUUAAACGAGAAUCGAUAAAUCGAAUAAAAAGGAAUUUCUUAGAGAGGAUAUUUUUAGAUCGACAGAUGCCACAACCUUGGAUGUAUAAAAGUUAAUCUAAAAAUAAUUGGCCAAUCGUUGCGGCUUAUUUACUAAUGGAAAAUCGGUUCAUCGACGUGUAUAACGGUGUAUACGCAGGUACCGUUUUAAAAAAAGGCCCACCAUGAUGAUAUUCCUUUUUUUCCUGAUGAUAUGAUAAUAAGCAUAUUUUUCAAUACUCUCGAUGCUCUCUUUUGAAGAAAUAUUAAGGAACCGAUUUUUAUUCAAGCACAAUUGAAUGGAAAUUAUCCAAAAUAAGCCAAAAAACAGCAUAAAAUUCACAAGAAAUUCUCAUAAUCGCUUCAAUGAAAACGCAACUUUAUAUUCGACAUUGAUGCAACUCGGAUCGAAAAUUUCCAUAACAAUCGAGAUAUUUUUCUAAAAAUCAAAUUUUUUUUAAUGAAUCUUUAUUAUAGUUCACCUAAUAAAAUUUUUAAAGCAGUUAUUCGUUUAUUUCUCAAAAGUUAAGCAGUAAAUCAUUACACGAGAAAUGCAAACACUUCGAUGAAAUUCAACGCUAAUGUAAGGAUUAUGUAACUAAAUAAUACAUAUACCAGAGAAGAA
Long non-coding RNA from Apis florea (little honeybee), 1582 nucleotides. RefSeq lists it as uncharacterized. The record is from RefSeq and is a predicted model, not a curated record. NCBI's taxonomy places the organism in Eukaryota, Metazoa, Arthropoda, Insecta, Hymenoptera, Apidae.